This is a long non-coding RNA of Cyprinodon tularosa, 438 nucleotides long. RefSeq lists it as uncharacterized. Lineage: Eukaryota; Metazoa; Chordata; Actinopteri; Cyprinodontiformes; Cyprinodontidae. The record is from RefSeq and is a predicted model, not a curated record. The transcript has 2 exons.
UAAGUUUUGUUUCUGAUUUCUGAUCUGUUUCUGCUUCUGGAACUCCCGAGUUUUGCUUUGAUCCUGUCUUCUCAGGUAUUUGUUUUUGUUCUGGACUGAUUCCUGGAUUCUGCCAGCUUACCGAACUUGGAUUGUUCUUCUGACCUAAGCUUGGAUUCUAUUAUGGUACCUCCUCAGCUCUCUGAUCUUCUGCUCUGUUAACCUGGUUCCGCUUCGACUUCAGCUCUGGAUCUUCCCUCAGGGACACUGUUGCUCCUCUGCUCUUCACACCGAAUUGUGAGGCCCGCACCCACUACAAGGUGUGAACAAAUAUCCCAUUUGAAUUCAACUCCUUCCUCUGGAUGGAACUGACCUCAGAACCAGAGGAUCCGGUUUAUCUGCCCAGCUGACAAGCAGUCGCAGGCUUUUUUUGUUUAAAUAAAAGCUUGUUUGAAAUCA